This is a long non-coding RNA of Neomonachus schauinslandi (Hawaiian monk seal), 822 nucleotides long. RefSeq lists it as uncharacterized. Lineage: Eukaryota; Metazoa; Chordata; Mammalia; Carnivora; Phocidae. The record is from RefSeq and is a predicted model, not a curated record. The transcript has 3 exons.
GAGGAAAUCAGAAAGUUGGAGAGAACAGGAACGGAGCCUGAUGUGGAAGUGCCCGAUGAAUCCGAAGUUUUAAGAAUGAAGUCAGAGAAGGUGUGUGGCCUGCUGGACGAAGGACAAGUAAUCAGCAGUGAAUCCAGUGAGGAGGAAGAGCCCCCAGCAGCUCUGAGCUCAGCACAAGGACGAGGGCUGGAGGAGAAGGGUGAGGAUGGCCAGCUUUGGGCUGCAGACCAUCAUGUGUCUGAAUUCAGAGCCCCCGCUUCCUGACGUGUUGUACUUUGAGUGCGCUCUACAGCCAAUGGUCCUGUCAACGCUGUGAACACAUUCUCUGUAUUUACCUCAUGUGCCAUUUUGGGAAAUGUGGGAGACAGGGUCCUAGUCACUAAAUAUGUGUGUUGAUAUAUAAAGGUUAGAGUAGAAACAAACUAGCAUUAUUUCUGUUGUUUGUUUGUUUUUCCUUCCACAUGAUCAUGCCUAUUGUGGUAUAAUAAAAAAAAAUAGGUAUUUGUCUUUGUCCCUAGUUCCUGACCUCCCCAAACCCUUGGAAUUUCCCCAGUGGUAAGAGUGUCCCUAUGACAAUUAGAGGGUUAGAACUCGACCUCUGUGGAGAAAAAAAGAGGUGGGAGAUUAAGUUCAAUCACCAAUGGCCCAUGAUUUAACCAAUCAUGCUUACACAAUGAAACCUUGGUAAAAACCUCUGAACAAUGGGGUUGGCAGCCCCUGACUUUGUAAAUACAUUGAUGUGCUGGGAGGGUUGCAUGCUGGAGAAGGUGUGGAAACCCUGGCACACCCCACCUCCAUACCUCCCCCUAUCCAUCUUUUCCA